This 736-nucleotide unclassified non-coding RNA is filed under the name uncultured Prochlorococcus sp. RNAcentral describes it as "partial may contain 16S ribosomal RNA, 16S-23S ribosomal RNA intergenic spacer, and 23S ribosomal RNA". The stretch from base 337 to 409 matches the Rfam family "tRNA". The record is from RNAcentral. Lineage: Bacteria; Bacillati; Cyanobacteriota; Cyanophyceae; Synechococcales; Prochlorococcaceae.
GGAGAAGGACGCCGAAGGUGGGGCUGAUGACUGGGGUGAAGUCGUAACAAGGUAGCCGUACCGGAAGGUGCGGCUGGAUCACCUCCUAACAGGGAGACAAAAAUUGAUUGUGUUGUCUUAGUAAUUUAUUCUUAGGCCACAAUCCUGUCACCUUAGGUCGAUCGGUACCUCAGAUUUUUGAAUUAAUUUAUAAUUAAUCCAUUAAUUUCAGUUCCUAAACUUGUCUAGGUCACACCCAACAAGGGUUUCUCCUGGGCCAUUAGCUCAGGUGGUUAGAGCGCACCCCUGAUAAGGGUGAGGUCCCUGGUUCAAGUCCAGGAUGGCCCAUUCGUUGUUGGGGGUAUAGCUCAGUUGGUAGAGCGCCUGCUUUGCAAGCAGGAUGUCAGCGGUUCGAGUCCGCUUACCUCCACUGAAAACUACCCUGAUAACUAAUUUCAGGAGAAAAUUUGUAAAUGUGACUUAGAAUUGUCUAUUUGAAAAGAACCUAGCUUCUUAUCAUCUUUUUAAAGUUGAUAAUAUGCUGGGCUCUAAUGGAAUUAUUUCCAUUUGAUUUCAGUAGAACCUUGAAAACUGCAUAGAUAGAAAGAAUAAAGCAUCUCAUGGAUGCAUAAUUCUGUAUCAAUAUUUAGAGUAAAACCUAAAUAUUUAAUUUACAGAAUUCAUGUUUAAUUCUUGAGUAAUAGCCGAGCACAAUUGAUUUUGUGAUUGUAUUUAAGGUCAAGCUACAAAGGGCUCA